Molecule: ribosomal RNA, 242 nt
Filed under: uncultured bacterium
Lineage: Bacteria
Description: partial 16S ribosomal RNA
Rfam family: Bacterial small subunit ribosomal RNA
Source: RNAcentral
GGUGGUUUCGGCCAUUCAGUGGCGGACGGGUGAGUAUCGCGUAGGGAUUUGUCGUUGGGUGGGGGAUAACCUUGGGAAACUGGGGCUAAUACCGCAUGACGCCUUUGGGCCAAAGCUUUUGGGUGCCUGACGAGGAGCCUGCGUCCGAUUAGGUAGUUGGUUGGGUAAUGGCUGACCAAGCCUGCGAUCGGUAGCUGGUCUGAGAGGAUGAUCAGCCACACUGGGACUGAGACACGGCCCAG